Molecule: non-coding RNA, 33 nt
Filed under: Candidatus Woesebacteria bacterium GW2011_GWB1_41_10
Lineage: Bacteria; Candidatus Woeseibacteriota
Source: RNAcentral
UAAUGAUAUAGUCCGAUCUUCAUAGCGAUAUGA